RNAcentral lists this ribosomal RNA (494 nucleotides) under uncultured bacterium. RNAcentral's name for it is "partial 16S ribosomal RNA". It matches the Rfam family "Bacterial small subunit ribosomal RNA", at positions 28 to 507 of the family's 1533-position model. The record is from RNAcentral.
GACGAACGCUGGCGGCGCGCUUAACACAUGCAAGUCGAACGGAAAGGCCUGCUUUCCCUUGUGGAUUGCGGGUACUCGAGUGGCGAACGGGUGAGUAACACGUGAGUGAUCUGCCCCCAACUUGGGUAUAAGCCUGGGAAACUGGGUCUAAUUCCCGAUAGGACUGCAGGGUGGUGCCUGUGGUGGAAAACGAUUUUCUAGUGGUUGGGGAUGAGCUCGCGGCCUAUCAGCUUGUUGGUGGGGUAAUGGCCUACCAAGGCGGCGACGGGUAGCCGGCCUGAGAGGGUGGACGGCCACAUUGGGACUGAGAGACGGCCCAGACUCCUACGGGAGGCAGCAGGGGGGAAUAUUGCACAAUGGGCGGAAGCCUGAUGCAGCGACGCCGCGUGGGGGAUGACGGCCUUCGGGUUGUAAACUCCUUUCGACCGCGAGGAAGCCACCUGGUUGGAAGGGUGGUGACGGUAGUGGUAGAAGAAGCACCGGCUAACUACGUG